Molecule: long non-coding RNA, 218 nt
Filed under: Trifolium pratense (red clover)
Lineage: Eukaryota; Viridiplantae; Streptophyta; Magnoliopsida; Fabales; Fabaceae
Description: long non-coding RNA (TPRA_LNC010799)
Source: RNAcentral
UAAGAGUGAAAGGGAAGAAAGGACCGUAAACUCAUGGGUUGCCUCCCAUGAAGCGCUUCUUUCUCGUCAUUAGCUUGACGCUUCAUCAUCACAAGUUAGGGAGGAUACUUCAACUUUGAUUCAACCCGGCUCCUCUUGUUCUCUUCAUUCAAAGGAGCAAUAUUAAUAUCAAUAAGUAAUGAUUUCACACUUCCCGAAUCACUCUUGAGAUCUUCCCC